This 837-nucleotide ribosomal RNA is filed under the name uncultured bacterium. RNAcentral describes it as "bacterial SSU rRNA". It matches the Rfam family "Bacterial small subunit ribosomal RNA", at positions 39 to 882 of the family's 1533-position model. The record is from RNAcentral.
GCGGCAGGCUUAACACAUGCAAGUCGAGGGGUAUGGUUCUUCGGAACCAGAGACCGGCGCACGGGUGCGUAACGCGUAUGCAAUCUGCCUUUCACAGAGGGAUAGCCCAGAGAAAUUUGGAUUAAUACCUCAUAGUAUAGCGACAUCGCAUGAUGAUGCUAUUAAAGUCACAACGGUGAAAGAUGAGCAUGCGUCCCAUUAGCUAGUUGGUAAGGUAACGGCUUACCAAGGCAACGAUGGGUAGGGGUCCUGAGAGGGAGAUCCCCCACACUGGUACUGAGACACGGACCAGACUCCUACGGGAGGCAGCAGUGAGGAAUAUUGGUCAAUGAGCGCAAGCCUGAACCAGCCAUGCCGCGUGCAGGAUGACGGUCCUAUGGAUUGUAAACUGCUUUUGCACAGGAAGAAACACUGAUUCGUGAAUCAGCUUGACGGUACUGUGAGAAUAAGGAUCGGCUAACUCCGUGCCAGCAGCCGCGGUAAUACGGAGGAUCCAAGCGUUAUCCGGAAUCAUUGGGUUUAAAGGGUCCGUAGGCGGUCUGGUAAGUCAGUGGUGAAAGCCCAUCGCUCAACGGUGGAACGGCCAUUGAUACUGCUGGACUUGAAUUAUUAGGAAGUAACUAGAAUAUGUAGUGUAGCGGUGAAAUGCUUAGAGAUUACAUGGAAUACCAAUUGCGAGGGCAGGUUACUACUAAUGGAUUGACGCUGAUGGACGAAAGCGUGGGUAGCGAACAGGAUUAGAUACCCUGGUAGUCCACGCCGUAAACGAUGGAUACUAGCUGUUGGAAGCAAUUUCAGUGGCUAAGCGAAAGUGAUAAGUAUCCCACCUGGGGAGUU